ACGAACGCUGGCGGCAGGCUUAACACAUGCAAGUCGAGCGCCCCGCAAGGGGAGCGGCAGACGGGUGAGUAACGCGUGGGAAUCUACCUUUUGCUACGGAAUAACGCAGGGAAACUUGUGCUAAUACCGUAUGUGUCCUUCGGGAGAAAGAUUUAUCGGCAAGAGAUGAGCCCGCGUUGGAUUAGCUAGUUGGUGGGGUAAAGGCCUACCAAGGCGACGAUCCAUAGCUGGUCUGAGAGGAUGAUCAGCCACAUUGGGACUGAGACACGGCCCAAACUCCUACGGGAGGCAGCAGUGGGGAAUAUUGGACAAUGGGCGCAAGCCUGAUCCAGCCAUGCCGCGUGAGUGAUGAAGGCCCUAGGGUUGUAAAGCUCUUUCACCGGAGAAGAUAAUGACGGUAUCCGGAGAAGAAGCCCCGGCUAACUUCGUGCCAGCCGCCGCGGUAA
This 446-nucleotide ribosomal RNA is filed under the name uncultured Hyphomicrobiales bacterium. Its description in RNAcentral is "bacterial SSU rRNA". It matches the Rfam family "Bacterial small subunit ribosomal RNA", at positions 29 to 523 of the family's 1533-position model. Lineage: Bacteria; Pseudomonadati; Pseudomonadota; Alphaproteobacteria; Hyphomicrobiales. The record is from RNAcentral.